Molecule: long non-coding RNA, 624 nt
Organism: Pistacia vera
Lineage: Eukaryota; Viridiplantae; Streptophyta; Magnoliopsida; Sapindales; Anacardiaceae
Exons: 5
Source: RefSeq, a predicted model, not a curated record
UCUCUUGAAGUUUUGACUUUCAGUCAUUGCCCAAAUCUCAGAUCCUUGCUAGAUCUUCCAUCCUCACUUUUGUCGCUAUAUAUUUAUAAAUGUCCUUUGAUUAAAAAAGAGUGCAAAAGGAAUGAAGGACAAGAAUGGUCCAAGAUAGUUUACAUCCCUUGCGUUAAGGUAGAUGAUAAAUUCAUCCACACUCUGGAAGAGGAAAUGAGCUGAAUCCGAUAGUAAUUUAUUCCAUCAUUGUAAUCAAUUUAGGGAGAAAUUGAAUAGUCUGACUCCUGGAUGCAAAAAUGCCAACAUUGCAAUGGCAGUGGUAUUUUUUCUUCCACCUAGUAAUUCAUAGAGCUUAAUUUGGAUAUGGAAGACAAUGAUACACCAUGUAGAUUACAGAGCUUUGGAGGUGUUGGUGUUCAAAUUUUGCAGUCUAGAUUGCUGUAGUGCUAUGGGAAUAUCAGUGAAGAUUCUGUUGAAGCCUCUCAAAGGAAAAAAGAAAAAAGAAACAGCAAUCCACAAGAGGAAGAAUGGAGAUUCAAUUCAUUAUUUAGGGGAUGCCCUUGUACUCUUUUCAGCUCAAUGAAGAAAGAGGCUAACAACCGAGCUCACCACGUUGUGGAUACAACAAUACAA